UAACGCGAAGAACCUUACCAAGGCUUGACAUACACCGGAAACGGCCAUAGAUGGUCGCCCCCUUGUGGUCGGUGUACAGGUGGUGCAUGGUUGUCGUCAGCUCGUGUCGUGAGAUGUUGGGUUAAGUCCCGCAACGAGCGCAACCCUCGUUCUAUGUUGCCAGCGCGUUAUGGCGGGGACUCAUAGGAGACUGCCGGGGUCAACUCGGAGGAAGGUGGGGAUGACGUCAAAUCAUCAUGCCCCUUAUGUCUUGGGCUUCACGCAUGCUACAAUGGCCGGUACAAAGGGCUGCAAUACCGUAAGGUGGAGCGAAUCCCAAAAAGCCGGUCUCAGUUCGGAUUGAGGUCUGCAACUCGACCUCAUGAAGUCGGAGUCGCUAGUAAUCGCAGAUCAGCA
This 396-nucleotide ribosomal RNA is filed under the name uncultured bacterium. RNAcentral describes it as "bacterial SSU rRNA". It matches the Rfam family "Bacterial small subunit ribosomal RNA", at positions 957 to 1354 of the family's 1533-position model. The record is from RNAcentral.